Molecule: ribosomal RNA, 253 nt
Filed under: uncultured bacterium
Lineage: Bacteria
Description: partial 16S ribosomal RNA
Rfam family: Bacterial small subunit ribosomal RNA
Source: RNAcentral
UACGGAGGGUGCGAGCGUUGCUCGGAAUCACUGGGCGUAAAGCGCGUGUAGGCGGCCCAUUAAGUCUGAUGUGAAAGCCCGGGGCUCACCCCCGGAAGUGCAUUGGAAACUGAUGGACUCGAGUCCCGGAGAGGAGAGUGGAAUUCCUGGUGUAGCGGUGAAAUGCGCAGAUAUCAGGAGGAACACCAAUAGCGAAGGCAGCUCGCUGGGACGUUACUGACACUGAGGCGCGAAAGCGUGGGGAGCGAACGGG